RNAcentral lists this ribosomal RNA (1414 nucleotides) under uncultured archaeon. RNAcentral's name for it is "16S ribosomal RNA". It matches the Rfam family "Archaeal small subunit ribosomal RNA". The record is from RNAcentral.
ACUGCUAUCGGGGUGGGACUAAGACAUGCGAGUCGAGCGUCUCUAGCUAUGUUGAGACGCGGCAGACGGCUCAGUAACGCGUGGCUAACCUACCCUCAGGACGAGGACAAACCCGGGAAACUGGGGCUAAUACUCGAUAGGUGAGGAUGCCUGGAAUGGUUUCUCACCCAAAGGACUUGGAAACAUGCUUCCUUUGUCGCCUGAGGAUGGGGCCGCGCCCGAUCAGGUUGUUGGUGAGGUAAUGGCUCACCAAGCCUAUAACCGGUACGGGCCGUGAGAGCGGUAGCCCGGAGAUGGGUACUGAGACAAGGACCCAGGCCCUACGGGGCGCAGCAGUCGCGAAAACUCCGCAAUGCACGAAAGUGUGACGGGGCUACCCCGAAUGCCAUCCGCUGAGGAUGGCUUUUCUUUGGUAUAACUAGCCAGGGGAAUAAGGAGAGGGCAAGACUGGUGUCAGCCGCCGCGGUAAUACCAGCUCUCCGAGUGGUAGGGAUGAUUAUUUGGCUUAAAGCGUCCGUAGCCGGCUUAGCGAGUCUCCUGUUAAAUUCAGCGACCUAAUCGUUGAGCCGCGGGAGAUACUACUAGGCUAGGAGGCGGGAGAGGUCAACAGUACUUCCGGGGUAGGGGUGAAAUCCUAUAAUCCCAGGAAGACCACCAGUGGCGAAGGCUGUCUGCUAGAACGCGCCCGACGGUGAGGGAUGAAAGCUGGGGGAGCGAACCGGAUUAGAUACCCGGGUAGUCCCAGCUGUAAACGAUGCAGGUUAGGUGUUUGGACGGCCACGUGCCGUUCUAGUGCCGCAGGGAAGCUGUUAAGCCUGCCGCCUGGGGAGUACGAUCGCAAGAUUGAAACUUAAAGGAAUUGGCGGGGGAGCACCACAAGGGGUGAAGCUUGCGGUUUAAUUGGAGUCAACGCCGGAAAUCUCACCGGGAGCGACAGCAGUGUGAAGGCCAGAUUAAAGGUCUUGCCAGACGAGCUGAGAGGAGGUGCAUGGCCGUCGCCAGUUCGUGCCGUGAGGUGUCCUGUUAGGUCAGGCAACGAUCGAGACCCGCGUCCUCUGUUGCUACUAGCCUUGAGCUGGGCACACUGAGGAGACCGCCACUGAUAAAGUGGAGGAAGGAGCGGGCCACGGCAGGUCAGUAUGCCCCGAAUCUCCCGGGCCACACGCGAGCUGCAAUGGCAGGUACAAUGGGUUCCGACCUCGAAAGAGGGAGGCAAUCUCGAAAGCCUGCCGUAGUUGGAAUUGAGGGUUGAAACCCACCCUCAUGAACAUGGAAUCCCUAGUAAUCGCGUGUCACUAGCGCGCGGUGAAUACGUCCCUGCUCCUUGCACACACCGCCCGUCGUUCCAUCCGAGUGACUUUUGGGUGGGGUGCCGUCUUCUUGGCGGUAUCGGAUCUAAGUUUCACAAGGAGGG